AAUCUAUCUAACUCUAUUAGUGAAUGUGCAUUUUGGGAUUUUGAAAGCAAUAACGGAGAUGGUGGAUGGUCAACAAAAGGAUGCAAAACACAAUCUACGAAUGAUCUUUACAUACAGUGUGAUUGCGAUCAUUUGACGAAUUUUGAAGUUCUGGUUCGACCUUACGUAAAGCUACAUGAGGAUGAAGAGGCUUUGAAUUGGAUAUCCGUCAUUGGUUGCUCAAUAUCUGUUUUCUUUUCCUGUCUGACAGCUAUUGUAUAUCUUGUUUUAU
Long non-coding RNA from Saccostrea echinata, 271 nucleotides. RefSeq lists it as uncharacterized. Lineage: Eukaryota; Metazoa; Mollusca; Bivalvia; Ostreida; Ostreidae. The transcript is spliced from 3 exons. The record is from RefSeq and is a predicted model, not a curated record.